UAUUGAGGGCGCAUGCUGCAUGUUCUUGAGCCACACGAUCUUUCCCGAAGUGAACUUUAGAUCGACCGAACCAACACCAAGAAUAGAAGCAUGCAAGCCGUUCCCCAUCAUGAUGGUUGAACCUCGUGCGAUCUGAGCUGUGGCAAAGUUUCUCCAUGAUGGAGGCAACUUGGUAAUGAUACUACCAGCGACAAACUUGUCGGGCAAGAUGUGUCUGAGUUGUUCAAGUUCUCUCAAAAUAAGUUGGAACUCAUGAGCCUGUUCCACGAUUGAACGGUUUUUAACCAUUUUGAAGUUGUGGUACUUCUCCAUCACAUACAACUCGUGACCAACGUCUAUAGCACCAAACUUAUGUUCAAGUGCCUCCCACAGUUCAGUAGCACUUUUGAUGUUCAUGUAAACAUCACACAAGUGGUCAGAGAGAAUGCUAAGAACGUAUUCGAUGAAAAUCAUCGUAGCCGCAUUAAACUCUUGUCUUUCUCAGAUCUGAGAGGUAGUGCGGGAGGAUUACCCACGACCCAAAACACGCCCCAUCCAUGAGCCACAACUGGGCCCUCGUUUGCCAUCUCUUGAAAUUCACACCAGUGAACUUCUCUGGUUUCAUCGCAUCAGUAUAUCCCUUAGUCAUUGCUAAAUGCCUAUCAGGUUUUUGGAUUGUUGGAAAUAAAAGCAAUUUAGCGAUGCAUAGAUUAAUUCUGACAACAAGAAACAGACUAACGACAUGUAUCACAGAUAUAUGAAUCAAAACUAGCACUACGAUUUGAAUCAAAUUUACGGGGUCUAGUGCUAGCAACAAAAAUGAUAUGAGACCGAACAACAGAGAGAGGAUAGACAUCCUUAUAGUGGGGUUGUCGACGCGAAGGAAGAAGAGGAAGAAGACGAAGACCAUCGAUGGAGAUCGGCGAACACCGGGCGUAGAGGGAAGAAGACGUCCAGUGAGCAGCCGCAACGGUGCUUCCCAAAAACCUGAUACGCCCCCUACCCCGUGUAGGGACGCGAGGAGACGUAGGCUUUGAAGCCUGCUCUCCUGACACCGAUGCCACAUCGGCGACGAGAUGGGGAAGAUGGUGGCAGCGUAGUAAUGUGGUGAGGAAGAGAUGAAUCUCUUGGUCCAAAGAAUGGUGUCUCGCCCCAUAUUUAUACACACGUCGCACGCAGCAAAUUGGAAAGCAAUCAAUCACAGUAUUAUGGAAACAUUACCUGUCGUUUACGCACUUACCAUAAUACGAGAAUAAUUUCUUACCAAA
Long non-coding RNA from Sorghum bicolor (sorghum), 1247 nucleotides. RefSeq lists it as uncharacterized. Lineage: Eukaryota; Viridiplantae; Streptophyta; Magnoliopsida; Poales; Poaceae. The record is from RefSeq and is a predicted model, not a curated record. The transcript has 2 exons.